GCUGUUUUGGCAGAAUUAGUGCAUUAAAUUUAGAAUUUAAGUAGAUGAUUAAAUAAUUAUAUACAGUA
This 68-nucleotide transfer RNA is filed under the name Tettigades distanti. RNAcentral's name for it is "tRNA-Leu". Lineage: Eukaryota; Metazoa; Arthropoda; Insecta; Hemiptera; Cicadidae. The record is from RNAcentral.